UUUCAAAAUGCACCAAAAAGACCC
Molecule: non-coding RNA, 24 nt
Filed under: Gossypium hirsutum (cotton)
Lineage: Eukaryota; Viridiplantae; Streptophyta; Magnoliopsida; Malvales; Malvaceae
Source: RNAcentral